UGGGGUAUAUUGGACAAUGGGCGCAAGCCUGAUCCAGCCAUGCCGCGUGAGUGAUGAAGGCCCUAGGGUUGUAAAGCUCUUUCACCGGUGAAGAUAAUGACGGUAACCGGAGAAGAAGCCCCGGCUAACUUCGUGCCAGCAGCCGCGGUAAUACGAAGGGGGCUAGCGUUGUUCGGAUUUACUGGGCGUAAAGCGCACGUAGGCGGACUUUUAAGUCAGGGGUGAAAUCCCGGGGCUCAACCCCGGAACUGCCUUUGAUACUGGAAGUCUUGAGUAUGGUAGAGGUGAGUGGAAUUCCGAGUGUAGAGGUGAAAUUCGUAGAUAUUCGGAGGAACACCAGUGGCGAAGGCGGCUCACUGGACCAUUACUGACGCUGAGGUGCGAAAGCGUGGGGAGCAAACAGG
This 404-nucleotide ribosomal RNA is filed under the name Actinomycetes bacterium. RNAcentral describes it as "Actinobacteria bacterium partial 16S ribosomal RNA". It matches the Rfam family "Bacterial small subunit ribosomal RNA", at positions 355 to 776 of the family's 1533-position model. Lineage: Bacteria; Bacillati; Actinomycetota; Actinomycetes. The record is from RNAcentral.